AGCGGCGGAUGGGUGAGUAACACGUGGGGAACCUGCCCCUAAGUCUGGGAUACCAUUUGGAAACAGGUGCUAAUACCGGAUAAUAAAGCAGAUCGCAUGAUCAGCUUUUGAAAGGCGGCGUAAGCUGUCGCUAAGGGAUGGCCCCGCGGUGCAUUAGCUAGUUGGUAAGGUAACGGCUUACCAAGGCGACGACGCAUAGCCGAGUUGAGAGACUGAUCGGCCACAUUGGGACUGAGACACGGCCCAAACUCCUACGGGAGGCAGCAGUAGGGAAUCUUCCACAAUGGACGCAAGUCUGAUGGAGCAACGCCGCGUGAGUGAAGAAGGUUUUCGGAUCGUAAAGCUCUGUUGAUGGUGAAGAAGGAUAGAGGUAGUAACUGGCCUUUAUUUGACGGUAAUCAACCAGAAAGUCACGGCUAACUACGUGCCAGCAGCCGCGGUAAUACGUAGGUGGCAAGCGUUGUCCGGAUUUAUUGGGCGUAAAGCGAGCGCAGGCGGAAAAAUAAGUCUAAUGUGAAAGCCCUCGGCUUAACCGAGGAACUGCAUCGGAAACUGUUUUUCUUGAGUGCAGAGGAGGAGAGUGGAACUCCAUGUGUAGCGGUGGAAUGCGUAGAUAUAUGGAAGAACACCAGUGGCGAAAGCGGCUCUCUGGUCUGCAACUGACGCUGAGGCUCGAAAGCAUGGGUAGCGAACAGGAUUAGAUACCCUGGUAGUCCAUGCCGUAAACGAUGAGUGCUAAGUGU
RNAcentral lists this ribosomal RNA (743 nucleotides) under uncultured bacterium. RNAcentral describes it as "bacterial SSU rRNA". It matches the Rfam family "Bacterial small subunit ribosomal RNA", at positions 94 to 823 of the family's 1533-position model. The record is from RNAcentral.